AUGCAAGAGAUAUCCUUCCAGCUCACUUGGCACACCUGCAAGAUUUCAGCUAACUUCAUAACGUUCAGACAUUCAAAUCUGUAUACACAUGCUUUAGAGGUUGUAAAGCUUGGUGAUGCAAAUCCAAUUGCAUAUAAUUGCGCAAUGGAACUUCUUAGGGCAGCAAUGGAUAAACUGACCCCUUUAGCUUCUGAGCAUGAUGGUCUGGGUUUGGAACACAGAACUGAAUUCAAGAGGGCAAAAGUUACAGAAUUAAGUCUCUUGCAAGGACCAGAAAAUGGAUGCAUGAGCGACGAUGAAGGUAGCGCCGUCGGAAAUUACAUUGGAUUAUCAGCUCCAGAACGCAAACGCAAAGCCGGUCGACCAACGAACGCAGAGACAAGCCUCCAUAUGAUGACCGGUCUGCAAAGAGCAAAAAAGUUAAGGUUGCAUCACAACUUGAUACAGUUAUCGGAUGCAGUACAAGCAAGCCAACACGAUUCUGCACUAUAUGUUGUGGCCCUGGUCAUAAGAGCACGACGUGUCCACAAAGAGGGGACACCCCUCAAAAGAAAAGGAAAGAAGCGAAAUGCUCAAUCUGCGGAGUGGGAGGGCAUCGAAAGAACACCUGUAGCAAUCCUAAGAUUGUGGUACAUGUUGCCGAGCAACCAGCUCAUUAUCCUGCUAUCGAAGCAUCUUUCCCCUGCAUCCUGA
This 693-nucleotide ribosomal RNA is filed under the name Triticum aestivum (bread wheat). RNAcentral's name for it is "partial small subunit ribosomal RNA". Lineage: Eukaryota; Viridiplantae; Streptophyta; Magnoliopsida; Poales; Poaceae. The record is from RNAcentral.